This 304-nucleotide ribosomal RNA is filed under the name Schizophyllaceae sp. BAB-1712. RNAcentral's name for it is "eukaryotic LSU rRNA". It matches the Rfam family "Eukaryotic large subunit ribosomal RNA", at positions 376 to 671 of the family's 3401-position model. Lineage: Eukaryota; Fungi; Basidiomycota; Agaricomycetes; Agaricales; Schizophyllaceae. The record is from RNAcentral.
UUGGAAGAGAGUUAAACAGUACGUGAAAUUGUCGAAAGGGAAACGGUUGCAGUCAGUCGCGUCCGCCGGGGAUCAACCUUGCUUUUGCUUGGCGUAUUUCCCGGUGGAUGGGUCAGCAUCAGUUUUGACCGCAGUUGAAAGGCUGGAGGAAUGUGGCACCUUCGGGUGUGUUAUAGCCUCCUGUCAUAUGCUGCGGUUGGGACUGAGGAACUCAGCACGCCGCAAGGCCGGGAUUCGUCCACGUUCGUGCUUAGGAUGCUGGCAUAAUGUCUGUAACCGACCCGUCUUGAAACACGGACCCAAG